This 544-nucleotide long non-coding RNA is filed under the name Nicotiana benthamiana. RNAcentral's name for it is "long non-coding RNA (NBEN_LNC018253)". Lineage: Eukaryota; Viridiplantae; Streptophyta; Magnoliopsida; Solanales; Solanaceae. The record is from RNAcentral.
UGAUUGGAAGCUUCUAGUGUGGGGUUUAGAUUUAAAUUUCAGAAUUUGGGUAGUAGUACUUGGGGAACAAGUCAAAAAAUAACGGAUUAAGUAGCAAAAAGUAAAAUCUGAAAAGGAUUAGAUCGAAAUAACUAAACCUAUAGGAAUGCACUAUUUUGCUUGCCUAUAAAGGCACUAUUUCUGGCAUAAUAAGGCGGACCAUAGAGAGAGCUGAAAAAAAUAAAAAGGAGCCUUAAACAUUCUAAGAAUUGGAGAUUUUGGAGAGCUGAAUAUCCAAAAAGAUACACAGCUUAUAUAUUAUGAAAAUCUAUGUUUAUAAACUAUAUCUUUCUCUUCCUCAAAGAUUGAAUUGAAAGUUGACUGAAUGUGAUGAAAGGUUAUAUGCUUAACACAUGCAAGUCGAAUAUAGUAUGAAGACUUUCUCUUCUAAAGGCAGGGGUGAGGGCUCCAUUGCGGCAUUAAGUAAGGAGUUGAAGGAAAUCAAGGCGCAUCCAUUUCGUCAUCUCAGUCUCUUUUUGUGCAAAGAGGUAGAAAAGAUUCCGCC